RNAcentral lists this ribosomal RNA (497 nucleotides) under uncultured bacterium. Its description in RNAcentral is "partial 16S ribosomal RNA". It matches the Rfam family "Bacterial small subunit ribosomal RNA", at positions 28 to 507 of the family's 1533-position model. The record is from RNAcentral.
GAUGAACGCUGGCGGCGUGCCUAAUACAUGCAAGUCGAGCGAACAGAUCCGGAGCUUGCUCCUUUGACGUUAGCGGCGGACGGGAGAGACACACGUGUGUCCUCUACCUAUAAUACUGGGAUCUUUACGGGAAACCGGAGAUAACCCCGGAUAAGCUUCCGCACCGCAUGGUUCGAUAGUGAAAGAUGGCUUUGCUGUCACUUCUCGCUGGACCUGCGCCGUAUUAGCUAGUAGGUAAGUUAACGGCUUUCCAAGGCGACGAUACGUAACCGAAUUGCGAGGGGGAUCGGCCACACUGGAAGUUAGACACGGUCCAGACUCCUGCGAUAGGCAGCAGUAUGGAAUCUUCCGCAGAGGUCGAAAGCCUGACGGAGCAACGCCGCGUGAGAGAUGAAAGUCUUCGGAUCGUAAAACUCUGUUAUGAGGUAAGAACAUCCGUGUAAGUAACUGUGCACGUCUUGACGGUACCUAGUCAGAAAGCCACGGCUAACUACGUG